Molecule: ribosomal RNA, 468 nt
Filed under: uncultured bacterium
Lineage: Bacteria
Description: partial 16S ribosomal RNA
Rfam family: Bacterial small subunit ribosomal RNA
Source: RNAcentral
GACGAACGCUGGCGGCGUGCUUAACACAUGCAAGUCGAACGGAAAGGCCCUGCUUUUGUGGAGUGCUCGAGUGGCGAACGGGUGAGUAACACGUGAGUAACCUGCCCUUGACUUUGGGAUAACUUCAGGAAACUGGGGCUAAUACCGGAUAGGAGCUCCUGCUGCAUGGUGGGGGUUGGAAAGUUUCGGCGGUUGGGGAUGGACUCGCGGCUUAUCAGCUUGUUGGUGGGGUAGUGGCUUACCAAGGCUUUGACGGGUAGCCGGCCUGAGAGGGUGACCGGCCACAUUGGGACUGAGAUACGGCCCAGACUCCUACGGGAGGCAGCAGUGGGGAAUAUUGCACAAUGGGCGGAAGCCUGAUGCAGCAACGCCGCGUGCGGGAUGACGGCCUUCGGGUUGUAAACCGCUUUCGCCUGUGACGAAGCGUGAGUGACGGUAAUGGGUAAAGAAGCACCGGCUAACAACGUG